Molecule: ribosomal RNA, 464 nt
Filed under: uncultured bacterium
Lineage: Bacteria
Description: partial 16S ribosomal RNA
Rfam family: Bacterial small subunit ribosomal RNA
Source: RNAcentral
GACGAACGCUGGCGGCGUGCUUAACACAUGCCAGUCGAGCGGUAAGGCCCUUUCGGGGGUACACGAGCGGCGAACGGGUGAGUAACACGUGAGCAAUCUGCCCCUGUCUCUAGGAUAACCACUGGAAACGGUGGCUAAUACCGGAUAUGACCUCCUUCUGCAUGGUUGGUGGUGGAGAAGUCCGCUGGACAGGGAUGAGCUCGCGGCCUAUCAGCUUGUUGGUGGGGUAAUGGCCUACCAAGGCGACGACGGGUAGCCGGCCUGAGAGGGUGACCGGCCACACUGGGACUGAGACACGGCCCAGACUCCUACGGGAGGCAGCAGUGGGGAAUAUUGGACAAUGGGCGAAAGCCUGAUCCAGCAACGCCGCGUGAGGGAUGACGGCCUUCGGGUUGUAAACCUCUUUCAGCAGGGACGAAGCGAAAGUGACGGUACCUGCAGAAGAAGGACCGGCCAACUACGUG